GGGCCCCAUAUGUUGCUGUGCUAAACCUACCUGAACCUGACUUGCCACACGUGCGUCGUGGAGUUGUGCCAUCUGUUCAAACCGUGUCACCUUCAGUAGAUAUAAGUCUGCAGUGCAUUCGCGCU
Molecule: long non-coding RNA, 125 nt
Organism: Dreissena polymorpha
Lineage: Eukaryota; Metazoa; Mollusca; Bivalvia; Myida; Dreissenidae
Exons: 3
Source: RefSeq, a predicted model, not a curated record